CGGUGAAUACGUUCCCGGGCCUUGCACACACCGCCCGUCAAGCCAUGGAAGCUGGGUGUACCUAAAGUCGGUAACCGUAAGGAGCCGCCUAGGGUAAAACUAGUGACUGGGGCU
RNAcentral lists this ribosomal RNA (114 nucleotides) under uncultured bacterium. Its description in RNAcentral is "partial 16S ribosomal RNA". It matches the Rfam family "Bacterial small subunit ribosomal RNA", at positions 1360 to 1482 of the family's 1533-position model. The record is from RNAcentral.